GCCGGGGUGGCGGAACUAGGCAGACGCGCCGGGUUUAGGACCCGGUGGGGUAACACCCGUGGAGGUUCGAUUCCUCUCCCCGGCA
Molecule: transfer RNA, 85 nt
Filed under: bacterium
Lineage: Bacteria
Also listed under: 1 other name
Description: tRNA-Leu
Rfam family: tRNA
About the family: Transfer RNA (tRNA) molecules are approximately 80 nucleotides in length.
Source: RNAcentral